This 492-nucleotide ribosomal RNA is filed under the name uncultured bacterium. RNAcentral's name for it is "partial 16S ribosomal RNA". It matches the Rfam family "Bacterial small subunit ribosomal RNA", at positions 29 to 507 of the family's 1533-position model. The record is from RNAcentral.
AGUGAACGCUGGCGGUAGGCCUAACACAUGCAAGUCGAACGGCAGCACAGUAAGAGCUUGCUCUUACGGGUGGCGAGUGGCGGACGGGUGAGGAAUACAUCGGAAUCUACUUUUUCGUGGGGGAUAACGUAGGUAAACUUACUCUAAUACCGCAUACGACCUACGGGUGAAAGCAGUGGAUCUUCGGACCUUGCGCGAUUGAAUGAGCCGAUGUCGGAUUAGCUAGUUGGCGGGGUAAAGGCCCACCAAGGCGACGAUCCGUAGCUGGUCUGAGAGGAUGAUCAGCCAAACUGGAACUGAGACACGGUCCAGACUCCUACGGGAGGCAGCAGUGGGGAAUAUUGGACAAUGGGCGAAAGCCUGAUCCAGCAAUACCGCGUGGGUGAAGAAGGACUUCGGGUUGUAAAGCCCUUUUGUUGGGAAAGAAAAGAAGCAGGUUAAUACCACGAUGUUCUGACGGUACCCAAAGAAUAAGCACCGGCUAACUUCGUG